CAACGCCGCGUGGGGGAUGAAGCUUUUCGGAGUGUAAACCCCUUUCGACCCGGAAGAAAGCCCGCAAGGGUUUGACCGGUACGGGUAUAAGAACGCCCCGGCUAACUACGUGC
Molecule: ribosomal RNA, 113 nt
Filed under: uncultured bacterium
Lineage: Bacteria
Description: partial 16S ribosomal RNA
Rfam family: Bacterial small subunit ribosomal RNA
Source: RNAcentral